This 1343-nucleotide ribosomal RNA is filed under the name uncultured bacterium. RNAcentral describes it as "16S ribosomal RNA". It matches the Rfam family "Bacterial small subunit ribosomal RNA", at positions 28 to 1378 of the family's 1533-position model. The record is from RNAcentral.
GACGAACGCUGGCGGCGUGCUUAACACAUGCAAGUCGAACGGAAAGGCCCUGCUUUUGUGGGGUGCUCGAGUGGCGAACGGGUGAGUAACACGUGAGUAACCUGCCCUUGACUUUGGGAUAACUUCAGGAAACUGGGGCUAAUACCGGAUAGGAGCUCCUGCUGCAUGGUGGGGGUUGGAAAGUUUCGGCGGUUGGGGAUGGAUUCGCGGCUUAUCAGCUUGUUGGUGGGGUAGUGGCUUACCAAGGCUUUGACGGGUAGCCGGCCUGAGAGGGUGACCGGCCACAUUGGGACUGAGAUACGGCCCAGACUCCUACGGGAGGCAGCAGUGGGGAAUAUUGCACAAUGGGCGGAAGCUUGAUGCAGCAACGCCGCGUGCGGGAUGACGGCCUUCGGGUUGUAAACCGCUUUCGCCUGUGACGAAGCGUGAGUGACGGUAAUGGGUAAAGAAGCACCGGCUAACUACGUGCCAGCAGCCGCGGUGAUACGUAGGGUGCGAGCGUUGUCCGGAUUUAUUGGGCGUAAAGGGCUCGUAGGUGGUUGAUCGCGUCGGAAGUGUAAUCUUGGGGCUUAACCCUGAGCGUGCUUUCGAUACGGGUUGACUUGAGGAAGGUAGGGGAGAAUGGAAUUCCUGGUGGAGCGGUGGAAUGCGCAGAUAUCAGGAGGAACACCAGUGGCGAAGGCGGUUCUCUGGGCCUUUCCUGACGCUGAGGAGCGAAAGCGUGGGGAGCGAACAGGCUUAGAUACCCUGGUAGUCCACGCUGUAAACGGUGGGUACUAGGUGUGGGGUCCAUUCCACGGGUUCCGUGCCGUAGCUAACGCUUUAAGUACCCCGCCUGGGGAGUACGGCCGCAAGGCUAAAACUCAAAGGAAUUGACGGGGCCCCGCACAAGCGGCGGAGCAUGCGGAUUAAUUCGAUGCAACGCGUAGAACCUUACCUGGGUUUGACAUGGAUCGGGAGCGCUCAGAGAUGGGUGUGCCUCUUUUGGGGUCGGUUCACAGGUGGUGCAUGGCUGUCGUCAGCUCGUGUCGUGAGAUGUUGGGUUAAGUCCCGCAACGAGCGCAACCCUUGUUCACUGUUGCCAGCACGUUAUGGUGGGGACUCAGUGGAGACCGCCGGGGUCAACUCGGAGGAAGGUGGGGAUGACGUCAAGUCAUCAUGCCCCUUAUGUCCAGGGCUUCACGCAUGCUACAAUGGCUGGUACAGAGAGUGGCGAGCCUGUGAGGGUGAGCGAAUCUCGGAAAGCCGGUCUCAGUUCGGAUUGGGGUCUGCAACUCGACCUCAUGAAGUCGGAGUCGCUAGUAAUCGCAGAUCAGCAACGCUGCGGUGAAUACGUUCCCGGG